GCCCGCUUAGCUCAGUGGUAGAGCGCAUCACUAGUAACCACUCCUGCAAGGAAUAUGAUGAGGUCGCCAGUUCAAUUCUGGUAGCGGGCA
This is a non-coding RNA of Coniochaeta sp. 2T2.1, 90 nucleotides long. Lineage: Eukaryota; Fungi; Ascomycota; Sordariomycetes; Coniochaetales; Coniochaetaceae. The record is from the annotation of a GenBank genome assembly.